UGGAAAUUUGAUGUUCAAGACAGAAGACUGG
This 31-nucleotide non-coding RNA is filed under the name Rattus norvegicus (Norway rat). Lineage: Eukaryota; Metazoa; Chordata; Mammalia; Rodentia; Muridae. The record is from RNAcentral.